RNAcentral lists this long non-coding RNA (1528 nucleotides) under Equus asinus (donkey). RNAcentral describes it as "lncRNA (ENSEASG00005030884.1)". Lineage: Eukaryota; Metazoa; Chordata; Mammalia; Perissodactyla; Equidae. The record is from RNAcentral.
GAAUAACACUUGCUGUUUACUGAGAAGUAGCCCUGCUCAUUUCUCUUUGGCGUUCUCUCUGGCCACCAGGUUUUCUGGGACUUGGUCUUUAUUUUAAACAGUUUGUAGAUAGAGACGAUGGAAUUUUGAAGUUAAUAGAAAGAAGCUGCAGUGACACUAUUAAUCCAAGAAAAAGUCUGCCAAACCUUACUUUACACUUUGAGAAAAUGUUUUGCUUGUUUUCAGUCUGGCCUCAUCACAGUCAUUUUGAACACACACACACACACACACACACAUACACUGUAGUGGGUUGAAUGGUGGCCCCUCAAAAGAUACAUUCACCUGGAACUUGUGAAUGUGACUCUAUUUAGAAAAAUGGUUUUUGCAGAUCUAAUAAGGAUCCUGAAAUGAGAUCAACCUGGAUUAUCCAGGUGGGCCCUAUAGCUAAUGACAAGUGUAGUAUAAGAGACAAGAGAAGACACGGGAGGGCAGAAGGCAAUGUGAAGACAGAGGCAAAGACUGGAGUGAUGCAACUGCAAGCCAAAGAAUCCCUGGAGCUGUCAGAGAUUGGAAGAGGCGAGGAAGCUUCUCCCCUGAGUCUUCAGAGGGAGCACAAGCCUGCCGACACGGUGAUUUUGGACUUCUGGCCUCCAGAACGGCCAAUGAAAAUGUCACCCCCUCAGUGAGACUUCUCCUGUUUCCCCAGCAAAAUUCGUCACUGUACCCUCUGGGCUUCCAUCAUAAGAUUGUCAAGAAAUUAUCCCAAGUUGGAUGGACAGGACUGUUCCAGCUGAGGCUUUCGUAGCUGUGUAUUAUAUGGGUACAUUCCAGUGUCUGCAAGGAAAUUUCUUACAGGUCGUGAGGGAACACACAAUGUCUGUGGCAUCAUCUUUACAUUCUGUUAAACAAAUGGCCUCCUUUAUAUUCAUUUGAAUUGAGAAACAGCCAUGUCAUAUUCAAAUGUUUUAAAAAGCAAAUUUUGGAAGUUAUUACAAAAUGUGUGUGUGUUUGACAUUUGUAAAUGCUGAUUGGAAGAGAAAUUUUAAACCAACCUCUGGAAGGAUGACAAAGAAUUAAGGAUCUAAGGUUGAAAAAAAAAAAACAACAACAUUCAGACAUCACUGGACAGUUGUACUAACUGUGGACAGGAUGGCAAAUACUCCUUGAAAUGGACGGGGCUGCUGAAGCUCCCCCUGUGUGUGGUGACAGAGCAGGGAGGCAAGCCAACUUUUGGGACCUGAGCGCAUGAUCUUUUCACGAUUCUGUGUUGUAUCCAAGAGUUGGCUGGGGUCAUGACACUGCCUUAUUUGGCUAUGACCUCUCAGGCAAAGCAUUUAACCCGAGUUUCGUAAUCUGUGAAAUAAAAGGGGCUCAACUAGACACUCCUUAGACCUAACAUUUUGAGUCUAGUUUCGCAUAGAAAUACCUCCACAGUGAAAGGUUGCGGGCUGCGUGCCCUACGGCGGGAGCCUGAAUGAAAUCUCUCUUCCUCUGCUCUUCCUUUUCUUUCUCCGGUGAAAGGGGAAUAGUCAUGCUCAUGUGUAAUAAA